Molecule: unclassified non-coding RNA, 284 nt
Organism: Erinaceus europaeus (western European hedgehog)
Lineage: Eukaryota; Metazoa; Chordata; Mammalia; Eulipotyphla; Erinaceidae
Gene: 7SK
Rfam family: 7SK RNA
About the family: 7SK was discovered as an abundant small nuclear RNA in the mid-70s but a possible function has only recently been suggested. Two independent studies have found that 7SK RNA binds the CDK9/cyclin T complex (known as elongation factor P-TEFb).
Source: Ensembl
GGAUGUGAGGGUGAUCUGGCUGCAACAUCUGUCACCCCAUUGAUCGCCAGGGUUGAUUUGGCUGAUCUGGCUGGCUAGGCUGGUGUCCCCUUCUUCCCUCACAGCUGCGCGCUCAGUCGAAAAGGACGGCCUUCCCCAAAUAGAGAUGGUCCGGUGUUCGGUCCAGGGUAUACGAGUAGCUGCGCUCCCCUGCUAGAACCUCCAAACAAGCUCUCAAGAUAUAAAGCAGAACAGAUUGUUGACUUAUCAUGAACCUAAAAGCAAGAAUAUUGCCGAUGAAAUUU